RNAcentral lists this ribosomal RNA (520 nucleotides) under uncultured Glomeromycotina. RNAcentral describes it as "SSU rRNA". It matches the Rfam family "Eukaryotic small subunit ribosomal RNA", at positions 569 to 1090 of the family's 1831-position model. Lineage: Eukaryota; Fungi; Glomeromycota. The record is from RNAcentral.
AGCAGCCGCGGUAAUUCCAGCUCCAGUAGCGUAUAUUAAAGUUGUUGCAGUUAAAAAGCUCGUAGUUGAAUUUCGGGAUUAGUAAGUUGGUCGUGCCUCUGGUAUGUACUGGCUUUACUGGUUCCUCCUUCUUGAAGAACUGUAAUGUCAUUAAUUUGGUGUUGCAGGGAAACAGGACUGUUACUUUGAAAAAAUUAGAGUGUUUAAAGCAGGCUAACGCUUGAAUACAUUAGCAUGGAAUAAUGAAAUAGGACGUUUGAUCCUAUUUUGUUGGUUUCUAGGAUUGACGUAAUGAUUAAUAGAGAUAGUUGGGGGCAUUAGUAUUCAAUUGUCAGAGGUGAAAUUCUUGGAUUUAUUGAAGACUAACUACUGCGAAAGCAUUUGCCAAGGAUGUUUUCAUUAAUCAAGAACGAAAGUUAGGGGAUCGAAGACGAUCAGAUACCGUCGUAGUCUUAACCAUAAACUAUGCCGACUAGGGAUCGGAUGAUGUUAAUUUUUUAAUGACUCAUUCGGCGCCUUA